GACGAACGCUGGCGGCGUGCCUAAUACAUGCAAGUAGAACGCUGAAGAGAGGAGCUUGCUCUUCUUGGAUGAGUUGCGAACGGGUGAGUAACGCGUAGGUAACCUGCCUUGUAGCGGGGGAUAACUAUUGGAAACGAUAGCUAAUACCGCAUAACAAUGGAUGACACAUGUCAUUUAUUUGAAAGGGGCAAUUGCUCCACUACAAGAUGGACCUGCGUUGUAUUAGCUAGUAGGUGAGGUAAUGGCUCACCUAGGCGACGAUACAUAGCCGACCUUAGAGGGGGAUCGGCCACACUGGGAAUGGGAAACGGCCCAGAAUCCUACGGGAGGCAGCAGUAGGGAAUCUUCGGCAAUGGGGGCAACCCUGACCGAGCAAAGCCGCGUGAGUGAAGAAGGUUUUCGGAUCGUAAAGAUCUGUUGUAAGUCAAGAACGGGUGUGAGAGUGGAAAGUUCACACUGUGACGGUAGCUUACCAGAAAGGGACGGCUAACUACGUG
This 497-nucleotide ribosomal RNA is filed under the name uncultured bacterium. RNAcentral's name for it is "partial 16S ribosomal RNA". It matches the Rfam family "Bacterial small subunit ribosomal RNA", at positions 28 to 507 of the family's 1533-position model. The record is from RNAcentral.